RNAcentral lists this ribosomal RNA (1650 nucleotides) under Triticum aestivum (bread wheat). Its description in RNAcentral is "partial small subunit ribosomal RNA". Lineage: Eukaryota; Viridiplantae; Streptophyta; Magnoliopsida; Poales; Poaceae. The record is from RNAcentral.
AUGGGAUAUAAUGGAAAUGCAGAUGAGAAGUUCAGGGAUAUUCCUGGGAGUGCCUAUUAUGUGGCUCCGGAGGUGCUGAAGCGGAUAUAUGGAGCCGAUAAUUGCAUAUGGAGUGCUAGAGUUAUACUCUACACUCUGUUGUCUGGCAUUCCUCCUUUUUGGGCAGCAGGGCAGGUGCAUUCUCUGGCUGUGCAAUCUUCCGGGUGCAAUCCUCAAAUAUGGGAUGUCGUACUAGCCUUAAUUCAACAUCUGGAAUGGCUUAUGAUGGCAUGGAGUUCCAUCAUUUCGGCUACUUGCGGCGGGGAGUGUGGCCGGUGCUUGCGGCAGCAGCGAAGCGGCGUGCGCGAGCGCAGUGUAGGCAGUGGCCAAAGGCUCAUCGGCUGCUGCGAGUACGCCGUUGGCACCAGCCGGCAAGAAUCCAUUGAGUCUUCCUCUAUGUGUGCAACCUUGCCAGCAUGGGAAUCAAUCAAGGUAGGGGCAGCCAACGUUAAGAUAGAAGGGUUGUUGGUUGCUUCAAGAGUUAAUAACGAGGGCCCCAGCGAGAAAUGUCCUGUUAAGACGGGAAUCCGAGCGGGAUCAGGAGUUGUAGCGGUAUUAAUUAUGAUGCACGAGAGGUGGGGGCGUGCUCUCCUCAUUACGUCCUCCAUGCAUUGCAUACGACAGUCCAUCUCCCAUCUACAUGGCAUAGGGGCAAAAUUGGAUAGUCACAAUUGGCUUCUGGCCCAUUUUUACCGCGAACGGUCCCCAGUCAGCCCGGGCCAAUAUUACAGGGCUGCUGCUCCCGACGUUGACAUGUGCGCCUCCUUGUUAAAUGGGCCGGUAGCGCACAUGUUUCAAAUUCCUUCACCCACGGAUCAGAUAAGGAAGGACGUCAUUGGAAAGCUGAGCGGCGGCGGCGAUACUUCCGGCCACCCGGGGACAAGGAUAAUGGAGGAUGUGGGUAUGGAGUUUCUUCUCGUCGCCGUCGACAGAGUCUGCCGGCGUCGGAAAUCAUCACGGACUAGGUCGGCGCAGUCCACAUACAAAGUCAACCCCCAGGCCCCAGGAUGGACGAAAAGUUUGCUGACGGCCGAAGAAAUUGAAUCAGCUGAGGUAGUGGAUGUGGCCGAAGAAAUUGAACCACCAUGGUCUCCGUGGGCGGGUUUGACUGAACCUGUUGAUUGUUGGGAGCCGGAGCUAUCUAGCCUGCUUGGUUGCCCUGGUGCACAUGGUGCCGGCCGACUUGCUGCUGAGCAUGGGCUAUCUGCUGAGGGCUCAUCCUCCUCAGGUAUGAGCGCUGAAAGUCGAAGAAGUGACACAGCCGAGCCUGCGGAAAAAUGCAGACCUAUAGACCGAAACUCAAUAUCAUGCCUGAAGCCUGCAAGAUGCAAGAACUGUGGUGUUCAAGGUCGCCUCCGCAACAGCUGCACCAGGCCUCGCCUCUGGUUGUACAAUGGAUUCAAAAUUCAAAAGUGCAGUGGUGGGCGGCGUAGUGGCGUGGCAUUGCAUAAGAUGACUGCUGGAUGCUGGGAUCAUGUUCGUGCUCUCGUGAGUGGUACUCUUCAAGCAGGGAUGGGGCCGGCGUGGAGCGUAUGGGCUGACUCGAGUGUUGAGGCGUCGGCGUCGGUGUCCAAAUGCAGUUCGCCCUCUCGAGCCUGCAUCUGCUCCUGA